This 1026-nucleotide ribosomal RNA is filed under the name Sphaeropsis porosa. RNAcentral's name for it is "SSU rRNA". It matches the Rfam family "Eukaryotic small subunit ribosomal RNA", at positions 72 to 1106 of the family's 1831-position model. Lineage: Eukaryota; Fungi; Ascomycota; Dothideomycetes; Botryosphaeriales; Botryosphaeriaceae. The record is from RNAcentral.
AUCUAUACUGUGAAACUGCGAAUGGCUCAUUAAAUCAGUUAUCGUUUAUUUGAUAGUACCUUACUACUUGGAUAACCGUGGUAAUUCUAGAGCUAAUACAUGCUAAAAACCUCGACUUCGGAAGGGGUGUAUUUAUUAGAUAAAAAACCAAUGCCCUUCGGGGCUCCUUGGUGAAUCAUGAUAACUUAACGAAUCGCAUGGCCUUGCGCCGGCGAUGGUUCAUUCAAAUUUCUGCCCUAUCAACUUUCGAUGGUAGCAUAGUGGGCUACCAUGGUAUCAACGGGUAACGGGGAAUUAGGGUUCUAUUCCGGAGAGGGAGCCUGAGAAACGGCUACCACAUCCAAGGAAGGCAGCAGGCGCGCAAAUUACCCAAUCCCGACACGGGGAGGUAGUGACAAUAAAUACUGAUACAGGGCUCUUUUGGGUCUUGUAAUUGGAAUGAGUACAAUUUAAAUACCUUAACGAGGAACAAUUGGAGGGCAAGUCUGGUGCCAGCAGCCGCGGUAAUUCCAGCUCCAAUAGCGUAUAUUAAAGUUGUUGCAGUUAAAAAGCUCGUAGUUGAACCUUGGGCCUGGCUGGCCGGUCUGCCUCACCGCAUGUACUGGUUCGGCCGGGCCUUUCCUCCUGGGGAUCCGCAUGCCCUUCACUGGGCGUGUUGGGGAACCAGGACUUUUACUUUGAAAAAAUUAGAGUGUUCAAAGCAGGCCUUUGCUCGAAUACAUUAGCAUGGAAUAAUAGAAUAGGACGUGCGGUCCUAUUUUGUUGGUUUCUAGGACCGCCGUAAUGAUUAAUAGGGAUAGUCGGGGGCAUCAGUAUUCAGUUGUCAGAGGUGAAAUUCUUGGAUUUACUGAAGACUAACUACUGCGAAAGCAUUUGCCAAGGAUGUUUUCAUUAAUCAGUGAACGAAAGUUAGGGGAUCGAAGACGAUCAGAUACCGUCGUAGUCUUAACCGUAAACUAUGCCGACUAGGGAUCGGGCGAUGUUAUUCUUUUGACUCGCUCGGCACCUUACGAGAAAUCAAAGUCU